UCAUAAGGACAAGGCGUGAUGAGGAGCGAAAUUAAAGUAGCGAAGGCUGCGACGUCACACUGCCGAGAAAAGCUUCUAGCCAGAGACGGUGCACCCGUACCGCAAACCGACACAGGUAGUCGAGGAGAGUAUCCUCAGGUGAGCGAGAGAACUCUCGUUAAGGAACUCGGCAAAAUGGCCCCGUAACUUCGGGAGAAGGGGCGCUGGUCGCAAGAUCAGCCGCAGUGAAAAGGCCCAAGCAACUGUUUAUCAAAAACACAGGCAUCUGCAAAAUCGUAAGAUGAAGUAUAGGUGCUGACACCUGCCCGGUGCUGGAAGGUUAAGAGGAGAGCUUAGCGCAAGCGAAGGUUUGAAUUGAAGCCCCAGUAAACGGCGGCCGUAACUAUAACGGUCCUAAGGUAGCGAAAUUCCUUGUCGGGUAAGUUCCGACCUGCACGAAAGGUGUAAUGAUUUGGGCACUGUCUCAACGAGAGACUCGGUGAAAUUAUAAUACCCGUGAAGAUGCGGGUUACCCGCGACAGGACGGAAAGACCCCAUGGAGCUUUAC
RNAcentral lists this ribosomal RNA (547 nucleotides) under Lactobacillus delbrueckii subsp. bulgaricus. Its description in RNAcentral is "partial 23S ribosomal RNA". It matches the Rfam family "Bacterial large subunit ribosomal RNA", at positions 1548 to 2104 of the family's 2925-position model. Lineage: Bacteria; Bacillati; Bacillota; Bacilli; Lactobacillales; Lactobacillaceae. The record is from RNAcentral.